RNAcentral lists this transfer RNA (70 nucleotides) under Hyporhamphus quoyi. Its description in RNAcentral is "tRNA-Ser". The record is from RNAcentral. Lineage: Eukaryota; Metazoa; Chordata; Actinopteri; Beloniformes; Hemiramphidae.
CGAGAGAGGCUCGAAAGCAACGAUGACUGCUAAUUUUCGUCACCCUGGUUAAACUCCAGGGCUCACUCGA